This 492-nucleotide ribosomal RNA is filed under the name uncultured bacterium. RNAcentral describes it as "partial 16S ribosomal RNA". It matches the Rfam family "Bacterial small subunit ribosomal RNA", at positions 29 to 507 of the family's 1533-position model. The record is from RNAcentral.
AGUGAACGCUGGCGGUAGGCCUAACACAUGCAAGUCGAACGGCAGCACAGUAAGAGCUUGCUCUUACGGGUGGCGAGUGGCGGACGGGUGAGGAAUACAUCGGAAUCUACUUUUUCGUGGGGGAGAACGUAGGGAAACUUACGCUAAUACCGCAUACGACCUACGGGUGAAAGCAGCGGAUCUUCGGACCUUGCGCGAUUGAAUGAGCCGAUGUCGGAUUAGCUAGUUGGCGGGGGAAAGGCCCACCAAGGCGACGAUCCGUAGCUGGUCUGAGAGGAUGAGUCGGCCACCUUGAACUGGGAAACGGUCCAGAACCCCACGGGAGGGAACAGGGGGGAAUAUUGGGCAAGGGGGGGAAGCCCUAUCCAGCCCUGCCGGGGGUGGUAAAAAGGGCCUUGGAUUUGUAAGCCCUUUUUGUUGGGAAAAAAAACAGGAAGGUUAAACCCCCCCUUUUUGACGGUACCAAAAAAAAAAGCCCCGGCUAACUUCGUG